UACGUAGGGUGCGAGCGUUGUCCGGAAUUAUUGGGCGUAAAGGGCUCGUAGGCGGUUUGUCACGUCAGGAGUGAAAACUCGGGGCUCAACCCCGAGCCUGCUUCUGAUACGGGCAGACUAGAGGUAUGCAGGGGUGAAUGGAAUUCCUGGUGUAGCGGUGAAAUGCGCAGAUAUCAGGAGGAACACCGGUGGCGAAGGCGGUUCUCUGGGCAUUACCUGACGCUGAGGAGCGAAAGUGUGGGGAGCGAACAGG
RNAcentral lists this ribosomal RNA (253 nucleotides) under uncultured bacterium. Its description in RNAcentral is "partial 16S ribosomal RNA". It matches the Rfam family "Bacterial small subunit ribosomal RNA", at positions 524 to 776 of the family's 1533-position model. The record is from RNAcentral.